GACGAACGCUGGCGGCGUGCUUAACACAUGCAAGUCGAGCGGUAAGGCCCUUUCGGGGGUACGACGAGCGGCGAACGGGUGAGUAACACGUGGGUGACCUGCCCUUACGCUCUGGGAGUAAGCCUGGGAAACGUAGGGUCGUAAUACCGGAUAUGACUCCAUGACGCAUGUUGUGGGGUGGAAAGCCUUGUGCGGCUAGGGA
Molecule: ribosomal RNA, 202 nt
Filed under: uncultured bacterium
Lineage: Bacteria
Description: partial 16S ribosomal RNA
Rfam family: Bacterial small subunit ribosomal RNA
Source: RNAcentral